AGUGUCUUCGAAAAAGUCCGUUAGCAUCUAUCUUAGCAGUUUUCAGAAAAGGCUGAUUUACUGAAUCGAUGACGUCACUUACACUGAGAGUGUAACGUUAAUCGGCUGAAAACAAGUUCACAUGAGUUUUGAUAUUUCAUGAUAAACAGAUAUUAAUACAAAUUGUUCUGUGAUUUCAGGAGGACAGAAAGAAACUAUACAGAACAAAGUGAAACUCCAAGAUUUUUGAAAAGAAAAUUGGUGAAAUAUAUUCUGAAAAAGGCAUAUUAAUGUAUUUCAUGAGCUUCUUCAGUAAAUCUGUAUUUCUAAGUCAGUAUCUCCCUUCAGAAAUGUUGCUGACGGGAGAUACUGACUUAGAAAUACAGGUGAACUCAUGAAAAGAAGCUCAUGAAAUACUCAUGAAAGAAGCUCAUGAAAUACAUUAAUAUGCCUUUUUCAGAAUAUAUUUCACCAAAUUUAAAAGGCCCUGACAUCAAAACAUGGCUUAUUUUGUUCCUGGACUCUUCAGUGAUGACGAUCAGAGUCUGAGUGAACCUGCUGUCAGACAAUCACUAUUGCACACCAAAUGCUCUUACUCAGCAGAUGGGGACAGCUACCAUCACCCAAUUUUCACCCAAAAGUGGUUGCGCUAUUCGCCAGACCGGGCAGGAGGGACUGGACGACAACUUAUGCAGGCAUCAGAUGACAAUGAAGUGUAAAUAAAGAGUAGAGAGGCUAAUAAACAUAAAUUUGAUUUUAAA
This is a long non-coding RNA of Carassius auratus (goldfish), 740 nucleotides long. RefSeq lists it as uncharacterized. The record is from RefSeq and is a predicted model, not a curated record. Lineage: Eukaryota; Metazoa; Chordata; Actinopteri; Cypriniformes; Cyprinidae. The transcript has 5 exons.